UUUUUAACUUUAACUUUAAGUAAUAGAUCCUUACUUACAAUAGUAACUAGCGACCCGACAUUGCGCAUGAGAACGUCGACCAAUAUUUCUUGCUUUUCCGCGAAGACGUGGCAUUUUUUGUUGAAGUAGGUAACUUAAAAGUUUACAGGGCUAAACAGAUUUAUUAUUUAUUUAUUGAUUUCUUCGUUUUGAAUAUUCACCACAACCAGUCUGCCUGAAUCCUAUGUAAAACGUUCUAACAUCAACAACCAUUUAUAAAUAAUCAAAUUCAUUGUUAAAACAUUAUCUAGAUGAACGAAUUUUGAAUCUAAGCCAUUUUCAAACCCUCUUAAAUAUGCGAGAAAAUGUACACGUAUUUUGUAUAAAAUAUAUUUUUGACCGUUUAGGUGGUUCAAAUAAGCAGGAAAAUCAAUUGAUUGAAUUUUUCAUAAAAUUUUAACGUCAAGAAGGAAUUACUUAAGCACAAAGCAAUUAAAGCCAUUUUGACAUUUAUCAUAAAGAGUUUAAAUUCAAACGUGAAAAGGAAAAAAUAACAAUUGAAAAGAAAAAAGUACGUUGGAAACGUAACCAUUAAAAAAAUAAUUGAAGUGUGGGCCCAAUAUAACCAACAGUUGCAUGGAAUGCAUAAAAAUAGCCAUAUUUAUGCUAAAAUGUGAACGCAGCUGGAAAAUAAACAUGGAGUUUUGCUUGCAACGGACGAACUACGAAAUCGCAUAAACAAUUUGGCAAAGAAGUACAGGCAGGAAAGGAAGAUGAUUGGCCCAAGUGGAAGUGCUCCAUCGAAUUGGGAAUACGAAGACGUUCACAAAAUAAUAGGCGCCUACAAAUCCAAUUUCACUCAAGAACUGACGGAAGAGAGCAUGGCAAAGAUUCCGAAGAGAAAGAGAAACAAUGAUGAAGACUUCCUGGAACCCGCUAAAAAGAAACAAAAGAUAAUGGAAGAAUAUUUUAUUAAAUUUAUUAAAAACGAAGAGAAGGCUCUUGAUUUAAUGGAACAAACCAACACCAUUCCUUUGGCUAUAUUAAAUAAAAAUACUUAACGGGAGAGAAACAAGUUUUAAGAAUAUCAAAUGUGUGAAAAAUAUGUCGUACUGUAAUGUAAUAUAUUAGAAUAUAAUAACCAUAUAUUAACUAAAAUACUAAACCAAA
Molecule: non-coding RNA, 1149 nt
Organism: Bactrocera oleae (olive fruit fly)
Lineage: Eukaryota; Metazoa; Arthropoda; Insecta; Diptera; Tephritidae
Source: RefSeq, a predicted model, not a curated record